Molecule: ribosomal RNA, 253 nt
Filed under: uncultured bacterium
Lineage: Bacteria
Description: partial 16S ribosomal RNA
Rfam family: Bacterial small subunit ribosomal RNA
Source: RNAcentral
UACGUAGGGGGCAAGCGUUGUCCGGAUUUAUUGGGCGUAAAGAGCGUGUAGGCGGCCAGGGAGGUCCGUUGUGAAAACUCGAGGCUCAACCUCGAGACGCCGAUGGAAACCCCCUGGCUAGAGUCCGGAAGAGGAGAGUGGAAUUCCUGGUGUAGCGGUGAAAUGCGCAGAUAUCAGGAGGAACACCAAUGGCGAAGGCAGCUCGCUGGGACGGUACUGACGCUGAGACGCGAAAGCGUGGGGAGCGAACCGG